UACGAAGGGGGCUAGCGUUGUUCGGAGUUACUGGGCGUAAAGGGUGUGUAGGCGGUUGCUUAAGUUUGGUGUGAAAUCUCCCGGCUCAACUGGGAGGGUGCGCCGAAUACUGAGUGACUAGAGUGCGGGAGAGGAAAGUGGAAUUCCUGGUGUAGCGGUGAAAUGCGUAGAUAUCAGGAGGAACAUCGGUGGUGUAGACGGCUUUCUGGACCGUAACUGACGCUGAGACACGAAAGCGUGGGUAGCAAACAGG
Molecule: ribosomal RNA, 253 nt
Filed under: uncultured bacterium
Lineage: Bacteria
Description: partial 16S ribosomal RNA
Rfam family: Bacterial small subunit ribosomal RNA
Source: RNAcentral